Molecule: ribosomal RNA, 451 nt
Filed under: uncultured bacterium
Lineage: Bacteria
Description: partial 16S ribosomal RNA
Rfam family: Bacterial small subunit ribosomal RNA
Source: RNAcentral
AACGAACGCUGGCGGCAGGCCUAACACAUGCAAGUCGAACGCUCGUAGCAAUACGGGAGUGGCGCACGGGUGAGUAACGCGUGGGAACGUGUCCUUUAGUUUGGGAUAACAGCUGGAAACGCCUGUUAGUAACAAAUACGCCCUUCGGGGGAAAGAUUUAUUGCUAAAGGAUCGGCCAGCGUAAGAUUAGGUAGUUGGUGGGUUAAUGGCCUACCAAGCUUACAAUCUUUAGCUGGUCUGAGAGAAUGAUAAGCUACACUGGAACUGAGACACGGUCCAGACUCCUACGGGAGGAAGUGGUAGGGAAUAUGGGACAAUGGGGGAAACCCUGAUCCAGCCAUGCCGAGUGAACGAUGAAGGCCUUAGGGUUGUAAGGUUCUUUUGUCAGGGAAGAUGAUGUCGGUACCUGACAAAUAAGCACCGGCUAACUUCGUGCCAGCCGCCGCCGUAA